GGUUGCAAUCAAAAAAUCCACUUCCUGUCUUCUGAAAAGUUCCAAAGCAUCUAGACGCUGGGCUUGCGUAAGAUUUCCAUGUAGCUCAGCUGCUUUGAAACCAAGUAAACCAAAUAUAAUUUUCAACCGAUGAGCUGCUUGCUUUGUACCACUGAAAACAAUCACUUUGGAAGUGAAAGUCUUGGUGCACAGUGCAAGGAGAACAGCUUCAUGAUUUCCUUCACGCAUGCGCCGUAUUCUAACUACCUCUUCAGUCAAUGUUGCAGGCCGUUUUGUAGAUGGAUCAGCUGACAGGCGCAAAGGUUUAUUCAGUGAGAGAUUGAUGAGCUCAUCAACUUCCUCAGUCAUUGUCGCAGAAAACAACAUGGUCUGUCUCCGCUUCGGACACAAUCUAACCAGCUCACGAAUUUCAGCACUGAAACCCAGCUCCAGUAGACGAUCGGCCUCAUCAAGAAUCAAUACUGCAAGAUCAUCCAAAUCAACUGACAUGGAGUUCCGUAGAUGAUCUAUCAUACGUCCUGGAGUGGCCACGACAAUAUCAGGCAUUGUUCUCAAGGCUGCUUCUUGCACCUUGGUUGACAGACCACCAACAACCAAACAACAUCUGAUAUCUGGCAUAAACUGGGCAAGUUUACCUAUCAUACUAUGAACCUGAACAGCCAACUCUCUUGUUGGAGUAAGAAUAAGAACCCUAAUUGCAGGCCUAUUUUUUGGACGGUACAACAGUCUCUCGAGUGUCGGUAAGGCAAAGGCAGCUGUCUUUCCAGAUCCUGUUAU
RNAcentral lists this unclassified non-coding RNA (777 nucleotides) under Hevea brasiliensis (rubber tree). The record is from RNAcentral. Lineage: Eukaryota; Viridiplantae; Streptophyta; Magnoliopsida; Malpighiales; Euphorbiaceae.